AUAGAGGAGGAGAGAUCCAACAACUAAGCCCAGUAAGAGACAAUAUAGAGGAGGAGAGAUCCAACAACUAAGCCCAGUAAGAGACAAUAUAGAGGAGGAGAGAUCCAACAACUAAGCCCAGUAAGAGACAAUAGAGAGGAGGAGAGAUCCAACAACUAAGCCCAGUAAGAGACAAUAUAGAGGAGGAGAGAUCCAACAACUAAGCCCAGUAAGAGUAAAGAGGAGGAGAGAUCCAACAACUAAGCCCAGUAAGAGACAAUAUAGAGGAGGAGAGAUCCAACAACUAAGCCCAGUAAGAGACAAUAGAGAGGAGGAGAGAUCCAACAACUAAGCCCAGUAAGAGACAAUAGAGAGCUUUGAUGGAGUACAAUAGCUCCCCUAGGCACCAUGUGAUGUCCGUGUGCCCCAUUCUUGCUCUCCUGGCUCGGUUUCGAGAGGGCGAGAGAGAGAGAGAGACAGAAAGUGGCAUUGGGCCAUAGACAUGGGGCAGUGUGUUGUUAGAGGCAUAUCAGUGAUGUUGUGGUAAAUAACAAUACGUAGGUAAACUGAUCCCUGUUUGUGGUGAGUAAAGUAACGCUCUAUAUAUUUUCAAAGCAUUAUUCUGCAAUAGGUGGGUAAAUGCUUACGCAGAAUACAAAAGGUGUGUAAGCUGCGAUCACGUGAAUUUACCCUCCACUAAACCACUGAGUCAUAUGACAGUUAUUGGUGAACAGUAGUAUCUCUGUGUGUUGAUGAAGUGGUGGGCACUGAUCCAAAGUAGUGCACUAAAUAGGUAAUACACUCUUAGAAAAAAGCCUUCCAAAAGGGCUCUUCUCCUGUCCCCAUAGGAGAACAUUCUGGUUCCAGGUAACACCCUUUUUGGUUCCAGGUAGAUGGCACCUUUUUUUUCUAGAAGUGUAAGGUGCCAUUUCAGAUGCGGAAAUUGGUUGAAUCAACGUUGUUUCCACGUCAUUUCAACAACCCAAAAAGUAUUUGUGAUGACAUUGAAUCAAUGUGGAAAUGUUUAAAUGAAACAAUCGUUCAUCACUCUUAAAUAAG
RNAcentral lists this long non-coding RNA (1038 nucleotides) under Salmo salar (Atlantic salmon). RNAcentral's name for it is "lncRNA (ENSSSAG00000102462.1)". The record is from RNAcentral. Lineage: Eukaryota; Metazoa; Chordata; Actinopteri; Salmoniformes; Salmonidae.